RNAcentral lists this ribosomal RNA (482 nucleotides) under uncultured bacterium. Its description in RNAcentral is "bacterial SSU rRNA". It matches the Rfam family "Bacterial small subunit ribosomal RNA", at positions 511 to 991 of the family's 1533-position model. The record is from RNAcentral.
GCAGCCGCGGUAAGACGGAGGGGGCUAGCGUUGUCCGGAAUUACUGGGCGUAAAGCGCUCGUAGGCGGUCGCAUACGGCGGUGGUGAAAGCUCCUGGCUCAACUGGGAGAGGCCCGCCGCAACGGUGCGACUCGAGGGUGGUAGAGGCAGAUGGAAUUCCUGGUGUAGCGGUGAAAUGCGUAGAGAUCAGGAGGAACACCCGUGGCGAAGGCGGUCUGCUGGGCCACACCUGACGCUGAGGAGCGAAAGCUAGGGGAGCGAACGGGAUUAGAUACCCCGGUAGUCCUAGCCGUAAACGAUGGAUACUAAGUGUCAGCGGUAUCGACCCCGCUGGUGCUGCAGCUAACGCGUUAAGUAUCCCGCCUGGGGAGUACGGCCGCAAGGUUGAAACUCAAAGGAAUUGACGGGGGCCCGCACAAGCGGUGGAGCAUGUGGUUUAAUUCGAUGCAACGCGAAGAACCUUACCAGGGCUUGACAUCCCG